This is a long non-coding RNA of Oncorhynchus tshawytscha (Chinook salmon), 693 nucleotides long. Lineage: Eukaryota; Metazoa; Chordata; Actinopteri; Salmoniformes; Salmonidae. The record is from Ensembl.
GGUUGUGGGUUUAGGUUUAGGGUUAUGGUUUAGGUGUAGGGUUUAGGGUUAUGGGUUUAGGUGUAGGGUUUAGGGUUAUGGGUUUAGGUGUAGGGUGUAGGGUUAUGGGUUUAGGUGUAGGGUUUAGGGUUAUGGUUUAGGUGUAGGGUUUAGGGUUAUGGGUUUAGGUGUAGGGUUUAGGGUUAUGGUUUAGGUGUAGGGUUUAGGGUUAUGGUUUAGGUGUAGGUGUAGGGUUUAGGGUUAUGGUUUAGGUGUAGGGUUUAGGGUUAUGGUUAAGGUUAUGGGUUUAGGUGUAGGGUUUAGGGUUAUGGUUAAGGUGUAGGGUUUAGGGUUAUGGUUAAGGUUAGGGUUUAGGGUUGUGGGUUUAGGUUUAGGGUUAUGGUUUAGGUGUAGGGUUUAUGGUUAUGGGUUUAGGUGUAGGGUUUAAGGUUAUGGGUUUAGGUGUAGGGUUUAGGGUUAUGGUUAAGGUUAUGGGUUUAGGUGUAGGGUUUAGGGUUAUGGUUAAGGUGUAGGGUUUAGGGUUAUGGUUAAGGUUAGGGUUUAGGGUUAUGGGUUUAGGUGUAGGGUUUAGGGUUAUGGUUAAGGUGUAAGGUUUAGGGUUAUGGUUAAGGUUAGGGUUUAGGGUUAUGGGUUUAGGUGUAGGGUUUAGGGUUGUGGGUUUAGGUGUAGGGUUUAGGGUUAUGGUUUAGGUGU